Molecule: long non-coding RNA, 224 nt
Filed under: Ananas comosus (pineapple)
Lineage: Eukaryota; Viridiplantae; Streptophyta; Magnoliopsida; Poales; Bromeliaceae
Description: long non-coding RNA (ACOM_LNC018855)
Source: RNAcentral
AGAAAAAAAAAUUAUGAUUGUCUUGCUAUGACAAUGACAAUGACAAUUUCAGUAUUAUAAUCAAUACUCACUAGCGCUAGUGGUAAAGAGAUUGAUAGUUGAUACUCGAGAUUUUAAAUUCGAAUCUUAAUUAAUUUAUAUUUUCAACUUAAUUUAUUCCUAAAAAAUAAAUAAAAUAAAUAAUAUGCCAAAAAAAUAAACGAAACAGUUAGUGGGUUAUCUUU